GGGACCCUGACAGCUGAGCUGCCCAGGUUCCCCGAGGUGGUUUUAGUCUUGAUGCGUGUAUUAGGAUUUCCUUAAAGAUCCCCCCCGCCCCCCUCAUAUUCUGACAGGCACAAGUGCCUAGGAUGGUCUUUCCCUGACAGAGUGGCCUCUGUGGUUCCGGGUGGUUGGAAGACCACUGAGGUAGGGCCCUCGGGAAAUGUAUUAAUGGAAUAAAUAAAAGCAGGACCACUUGCUUUUCUCCAAAGGAGAUUCAGUUAGAAUAGGGACUGGUCAGAUCUGUUCUACAGAUGUCAGGAUUGGGCCAGUUAUCAGUAGACGUGUUAGAAGUCUGGUUUAAAGAAACAAUCCUGGGGUUCAGGACAAAGCUGGGGCCCUGCAGCAGGAUAUAAUAGCACUUGGGUAUGGAGCACUUUGCAGUUAGCAGAUCGCUUGCCUGCUUUAACCUGUGGUCAUUUGAAGAAGUAUCUGGGUGCUGACUUUGUGGCAGGCGUAUAGCGACCAUUCAGGGGAGGCUGUGUUCCUCACUUGCCCGAGAGGACGCUGGCGCAGCGGGACUGGCUCCCCGUGUAGCCGGCGAGUCGGCACUGGGGCCACGGUGGGCGCCGGGGGAUCCGGGUCUGCCGUGUGGUUCUCUGUGUCUGACCGUCAGUGCGAAGAGUCGGGGAGGGAGGGUGAGAGCAGUGAGCACGGAUCGAGGUGGUCGGGGUGCUUGAUUCCACGGCGUCGCGCUGCCGUGUUAAAUGCUUUUUGAGCGGAGGCUCCUCUGUGGUGUAAGUAUCUUCCCUUGGAGAUGUCAGUGACUCAAAGAUGGAGAGAAAACGUUCCAGCUGUUUCACAGAUUGGCUCCUCCUUGAGGUCAGGGCUCGGCUCACGGUGGCUUCUUGGUCACAUCUGGCCCAGACCUGUUUCGGUGUGGACCUCCCAGCUCAGAAUUAUUUUAACAAAUUUUUAAAGAAAAUUGAAAA
Mustela erminea (ermine) is the source of this 965-nucleotide long non-coding RNA. RefSeq lists it as uncharacterized. The transcript is spliced from 2 exons. The record is from RefSeq and is a predicted model, not a curated record. Lineage: Eukaryota; Metazoa; Chordata; Mammalia; Carnivora; Mustelidae.